Pseudopipra pipra is the source of this 3316-nucleotide long non-coding RNA. RefSeq lists it as uncharacterized. The record is from RefSeq and is a predicted model, not a curated record. Lineage: Eukaryota; Metazoa; Chordata; Aves; Passeriformes; Pipridae. The transcript has 3 exons.
UCAGGGCAGGGCUUUCCCUGACCCCCAGCCCGCCCUGUAAGCAGGGCAGGGCUUUUCCCCCUGGCACCUUUGUGCCUGCUUAUGACCCCUGGCCAGAGUGACCCCCUGUAGCUGGGGCGUGUCACGGCCUUGGUCCCUGGGCCAGUUGUGAAGCCCCUCCGUGUGCUGAGGCCCCUCUGGCCUCUGCAGAGCCCGGGGCAGGGUUGAGGCUCUGCUCUCCUGCCCAGAGGGAGGGAUGGCUCCCCACGCGUUGGCUGCACAGAGCCUGCUCCCUCUUCUGGGACGUUCCCCCUUUGUGUUUUUGUCUUUGUCGGUGUGAGUGAGCAAGUGAGCUUGUGUUUUAUCCCCCGUAGCAAAAGUGAGACUAGUGUAGCUUAGACUUCCCAGGAGGGAAAGAGGGGCUCUGUGCAACAACCGGGGGGUGCCCUCUGAACCCACGGGUGGAGACAGGGCCCAGCCUUGCCCCUUCUUCCCCAGGACAGAGCGAAGCCCGUUAGUGGUGGUGCAGGCACCGUGACCCGCCUGUAGCCAGGGCCUGGGCGUGUGCCUGCGCUGCGGGGCUGCCUGUCCUGCUGGUGAUGUGCCAGCGUGAUCCCCCCCCCCGGCCUUAGGCCGUCAGGCCACUGUUGGGAGUGCCGGGCCUCGGGGGCGGCCCUGUAAGUGGGGCUUUGUGCGUCCCCCGUGCCCGGCGGGCGGUUGGAGGGACCCUCUGUAACCAGGCGGGUGUCCCGUGGGGUCCCCACCCUUUCACAGGCGUGGGGCUGGGCGUGUGCCCUCCCUGUCCUCGGGGGAAGGCAGAGCUCCGUGGCUCCCUGGGUGUGAACCCGCCUGUAAGCAGGGUCCGGGUCUGGGAGCCUUUGUGCUCCCUCAGCUGGCAGCCUGUGCGGGGCGACCGCCCCGUUAGCGGGGAGCGGGUCAGGUGCCCCCGAAGCGGAGAGAAGGAGCCUCCGCGGGCCUUUGGGCCCAGGGCUGCCCUGUAAGUCGGGGCCAGUGCCCUGGAGUCCCGGGCACUUUGCGCUCCAGGCAGCGGCCGGAGCCCCCUGUAAGCAGGGGUGCAGCCUCUUUGGCCACUGCUUUGCAUGCCCAGCUGCCUUUGCCCAGAGGGCCCGGCUCCCAGCAGCGGAUGGGACUGCGUCGCUCUGAAGCCGUCGGAGAAGAAAGAAGAGCCAGGACUGGAACUUUGAGGCAAGAGCGAAGAAGAGGAGCAGCAGCGUCGAGCUCAAGAGGGAGCACGACAGAGACCCUCUGGGCAAAUGCACCUCCCUGGCCCCCCCCGGGCAGGGAUCCGUAAGAGUCCGGCGGUCAGCUUCAGGCUGCCCCGGCUGGCUUUGUGCUGGGCGACCUCCCUGUAAGCAGGGCUGGGUCUUUGCUUUGCUUUGCUGGCCUUUGGCCAUGGCGCUCCUUUGGCUGCCCGGAGAGAGGGGCAACCCUGUAAGGAGGGUGAGAGCCCCCCUCUCCGCACCCAAGGGGGGAAACGGAGCUCUCCCGACCCCCAGCCCGCCCUGUCAUCAGGGCAGGGCUUUCCCUGAGCCCCAGCCCGCCCUGUCAUCAGGGCAGGGCUUUCCCUGAGCCCCAGCCCGCCCUGUCAGCAGGGCAGGGCUUUCCCUGAGCCCCAGCCCGCCCUGUCAGCAGGGCAGGGCUUUCCCUGACCCCCAGCCCGCCCUGUCAGCAGGGCAGGGCUUUCCCUGACCCCCAGCCCGCCCUGUCAUCAGGGCAGGGCUUUCCCUGACCCCCAGCCCGCCCUGUCAUCAGGGCAGGGCUUUCCCUGACCCCCAGCCCGCCCUGUAAGCAGGGCAGGGCUUUUCCCCCUGGCACCUUUGUGCCUGCUUAUGACCCCUGGCCAGAGUGACCCCCUGUAGCUGGGGCGUGUCACGGCCUUGGUCCCUGGGCCAGUUGUGAAGCCCCUCCGUGUGCUGAGGCCCCUCUGGCCUCUGCAGAGCCCGGGGCAGGGUUGAGGCUCUGCUCUCCUGCCCAGAGGGAGGGAUGGCUCCCCACGCGUUGGCUGCACAGAGCCUGCUCCCUCUUCUGGGACGUUCCCCCUUUGUGUUUUUGUCUUUGUCGGUGUGAGUGAGCAAGUGAGCUUGUGUUUUAUCCCCCGUAGCAAAAGUGAGACUAGUGUAGCUUAGACUUCCCAGGAGGGAAAGAGGGACUCUGUGCAACAACCGGGGGGUGCCCUCUGAACCCACGGGUGGAGACAGGGCCCAGCCUUGCCCCUUCUUCCCCAGGACAGAGCGAAGCCCGUUAGUGGUGGUGCAGGCACCGUGACCCGCCUGUAGCCAGGGCCUGGGCGUGUGCCUGCGCUGCGGGGCUGCCUGUCCUGCUGGUGAUGUGCCAGCGUGAUCCCCCCCCCCGGCCUUAGGCCGUCAGGCCACUGUUGGGAGUGCCGGGCCUCGGGGGCGGCCCUGUAAGUGGGGCUUUGUGCGUCCCCCGUGCCCGGCGGGCGGUUGGAGGGACCCUCUGUAACCAGGCGGGUGUCCCGUGGGGUCCCCACCCUUUCACAGGCGUGGGGCUGGGCGUGUGCCCUCCCUGUCCUCGGGGGAAGGCAGAGCUCCGUGGCUCCCUGGGUGUGAACCCGCCUGUAAGCAGGGUCCGGGUCUGGGAGCCUUUGUGCUCCCUCAGCUGGCAGCCUGUGCGGGGCGACCGCCCCGUUAGCGGGGAGCGGGUCAGGUGCCCCCGAAGCGGAGAGAAGGAGCCUCCGCGGGCCUUUGGGCCCAGGGCUGCCCUGUAAGUCGGGGCCAGUGCCCUGGAGUCCCGGGCACUUUGCGCUCCAGGCAGCGGCCGGAGCCCCCUGUAAGCAGGGGUGCAGCCUCUUUGGCCACUGCUUUGCAUGCCCAGCUGCCUUUGCCCAGAGGGCCCGGCUCCCAGCAGCGGAUGGGACUGCGUCGCUCUGAAGCCGUCGGAGAAGAAAGAAGAGCCAGGACUGGAACUUUGAGGCAAGAGCGAAGAAGAGGAGCAGCAGCGUCGAGCUCAAGAGGGAGCACGACAGAGACCCUCUGGGCAAAUGCACCUCCCUGGCCCCCCCCGGGCAGGGAUCCGUAAGAGUCCGGCGGUCAGCUUCAGGCUGCCCCGGCUGGCUUUGUGCUGGGCGACCUCCCUGUAAGCAGGGCUGGGUCUUUGCUUUGCUUUGCUGGCCUUUGGCCAUGGCGCUCCUUUGGCUGCCCGGAGAGAGGGGCAACCCUGUAAGGAGGGUGAGAGCCCCCCUCUCCGCACCCAAGGGGGGAAACGGAGCUCUCCCGACCCCCAGCCCGCCCUGUCAUCAGGGCAGGGCUUUCCCUGACCCCCAGCCCGCCCUGUCAUCAGGGCAGGGCUUUCCCUG